AUGAGAACUCCUCAGAGGUUGUUUUCACUUUUUGAGAUAUGAGUUUUGUGGCAUUUUUCGUAAAUAAUUGCAAAUGUGUGGGAUCCUCUUCAAUGUAUUGUCACAUCAUCCUCAGAGCCGUUGGAAGCUUUUGUUGUGCCAAAUGCUCCAGCUUCAGUUAUGGCCUCUGUUUUCCUCUAUUCUCUUUACUCCUCUAACUUCUCCAUUUACUCCAUUUACACCUUCUCCAUUUACUCCUACUCCUUCUCCAUUUAUUGCUUCUCCAUUAACACCUCUCACCCACCUCUACCAACAUAUCAUUAUUUCAAAACUUUUUCCUUUUCUUUUAUUGCUCAGACCUCUCACUUGUUCCAUAUUUUCACAAGCUACUCUUAACCCAGCACAAAUUGAGAGGAAGAAGAAACCAUCCUAGCCAGAAUCAAGCACACCCUGACACAACCAUUUGAUACUGGCCACAAUGCCGAUUUGAGAAUCUGAUCCUUGUACUACUCAGGUGACAAAAUGUGGCCUCCCCACAUUGAGCAAAUUUUUAUUGAGAUUAUGUUGGAUGAACAAGUGAAAGGGAAUAUGAAAAAUGGUGUGUUAAAGAUGCUUGUUUGGGAAUCUAUUACCAGGUAGCUUAAUACCCAAACUGGGAAGAAUUUUCUCACUAAGAAGGUGAUUCAAAAGCAUAAUAGGCUAAGGCAAAAACAAGGAAAAUGGGGACAGCUUUUGAAUCACAUGGGCUUAGGGUGGGAUGAGAUAACACAAUCUGUGACCAAUUCUGAAAAGGUGUGGGCAAACGUUGUUGUGGUACGUUCUUUACCCCAUUUAUGUUUGCAUAUCUAUAAUUUUUUUUUCCAGUUCUAUUUCGUGUGGCCUGUUGUUUGGUGGAAAUUUUACUUCUUUUUAGGGAGAUCCAAAGGCACCGUUACUACAAAAGAAGGGCUGCACCCACUAUGACAAAUUGAGGUAACUAUUUGCCCCCAAUACUGCAACUGGGGCCCUUCAUAUCUCUUCUAACACCCCAACCCUAAAUGAUGAUGAAGAGUGUGCCCUGAAGGAGGAACUUGCUAAUGAUGUUUGUCGUACCCAACUUGGUCAUGAUGAUUGCUACAGCCCGAGCCUUAAGGGAAUACCUAGGAAUGACAGCCCCUGUUUUGGCCAAACGCAACGUGCUAACAGACGUCCACUUCAAGAUUCCAAUGCCAAGGGGAAGAAGGUUGCCAAGAAAGCGGAUACGGCGAGUGAGAUGACUGUGGCUUUACAAGAGUAUACUGCAAUGACAAGAGAGAGGAAUUCUCAAAGAAGGGGGCUGGCAUCUGGUAGCUCUGAACAUUUUGGCCAAUCAGCUGCUAUAGGUGAUCCUUGCUCACUAGGAAAGGCUAUUGAAGUUUUGAAUCAGCAUGAGGACCUUGAUGAUGAUGCAUAUUUUGCUGUUUCCACGGCUCUACACCUCAAAGAGAAUAGGGGGUGUUAAUGAGGAUGCUAGAGCAUAGGAGGAAGAAUUGGAUGGAAAUAGUUGCUAAGCGGAAUCGCAACUAAUCUUUGGUGUUAUUAUUUCAUUUAUGUAAUGUGGGUUUGGUUGUAUGGUGGUUUCAUGGAGGUGGUUGUACUUAUUAAAACAUGUUUAAGACGUGUUGUUGGUUGAGCCAUCUUUUGGUUUGUUUCUGGAUGUUAUCCUAGAUGGCUGAAAACUUUAUUAUGUUUUUCGUUGAUCUGUAAUGUUUGUUGUAGACUUGGCUUGGUUUGUUGUUAUGUUUAUUAAACUCUAUUUAUAUCGUGUUAUGUUAUCUUAAA
Molecule: long non-coding RNA, 1779 nt
Organism: Quercus robur (English oak)
Lineage: Eukaryota; Viridiplantae; Streptophyta; Magnoliopsida; Fagales; Fagaceae
Exons: 2
Source: RefSeq, a predicted model, not a curated record